AAUGAACGCUGGCGGCGUGCCUGACACAUGCAAGUCGGAUGUGCCGCAAGGUGCAUGGCAGACGGGUGAGUAACGCGUAGGGAAUCUACCUUUUUGUGGGGAAUAACGCUCCGAAAGGAGUGGUAAUACCGCAUGAGACCGUGACCUGGGAUGGCUACGGUGAAACCUGGGGACCGCAAGGCCUGGGGCAAAAAGAGGAUCCUGCGUCUGAUUAGCUAGUUGGCGGGGUAAUGGCCCACCAAGGCGACGAUCAGUAGCCGGCCUGAGAGGGUGAUCGGCCACACUGGAACUGAGACACGGUCCAGACUCCUACGGGAGGCAGCAGUGGGGAAUUUUGCGCAAUGGACGAAAGUCUGACGCAGCAACGCCGCGUGGGUGAUGAAGGUCUUCGGACUGUAAAACCCUGUCGUCAGGGACGAAGGUGGCAGUGUUAAUAGCGCUGUUACUUGACGGUACCUGGAGAGGAAGCCCCGGCUAACUCUGUGCCAGCAGCCGCGGUAAU
RNAcentral lists this ribosomal RNA (502 nucleotides) under uncultured bacterium. RNAcentral's name for it is "bacterial SSU rRNA". It matches the Rfam family "Bacterial small subunit ribosomal RNA", at positions 29 to 524 of the family's 1533-position model. The record is from RNAcentral.